GAUAUUUUUACGAGAGUUUGAUCCUGGCUCAGGAUGAACGCUGGCGGCGUGCUUAACACAUGCAAGUCGAGCGAAGCACUUUGGUUUGAUUCUUCGGAUGAAGACCUUUGUGACUGAGCGGCGGACGGGUGAGUAACGCGUGGGUAACCUGCCUCAUACAGGGGG
RNAcentral lists this ribosomal RNA (165 nucleotides) under Dorea longicatena. RNAcentral's name for it is "partial 16S ribosomal RNA". It matches the Rfam family "Bacterial small subunit ribosomal RNA", at positions 1 to 142 of the family's 1533-position model. The record is from RNAcentral. Lineage: Bacteria; Bacillati; Bacillota; Clostridia; Lachnospirales; Lachnospiraceae.